Long non-coding RNA from Sinocyclocheilus rhinocerous, 551 nucleotides. RefSeq lists it as uncharacterized. The transcript has 3 exons. The record is from RefSeq and is a predicted model, not a curated record. Lineage: Eukaryota; Metazoa; Chordata; Actinopteri; Cypriniformes; Cyprinidae.
AUACACACUUACAGAAUUACUUUAAAGCAAAACAAAACGACUGAGGACUUCAUACGCGGAAAGUUACUUACAGUGCACAUGACUUAUGGACCAUUGGAUCCAGUUCAUCUGGUUCAUCCAGCUCUGCCUGUAUGUGAAAUACCAUGUAUUAAUAUAACUAUUAUUUACACUAAUACUUUUGGUUACACAGUAUGUAGUAGUUUUUAUUUCUUUGCCCUACAGAGUAAGGGAUAUGUUUGAGCAACUAGUCAACAGAAGCAGAGCUCUGGGACGUGUGGACAGACAUUCGCUGUAAAGAUGGACAUCUGCUCGUGGACAGUCUGUCCAAAAGCAUAACCACUGCUGGUCACAGUGCGGGAAGCUCCAGGGGGAGACCGUACUGGUAUCCCCCUUCUUUGGGCGCGCCUUCACACACACUCCACCAUUCACUCAUAUCACAGAGACCUGGCUGGGAUCGAACCAGCAACCUCUGAACCCGUGAGGCAGCGCUCUUACCUGUGAGCCACAGGUCUCUUGUUUGAGCUUGUGGAGGAACUUAUUUUUCACUGUUA